CAUAGUAACCUAUGGAUGCGAGAGCUGGACUAUAAGGAAGGCUGAGCGAAGGAAGAUAGACGCUUUUGAACUCUGGUGCUGGAGGAAAAUCCUGAGAGUGCCUUGGACCGCAAGAAGAUCCAACCAGUCCAUCCUCCAGGAAAUAAUGCCCGACUGCUCAUUGGAGGGAAGGAUAUUAGAGGCAAAGCUGAAGUAUUUUGGCCACAUCAUGAGGAGACAGGAAAGCUUGGAAAAGAUCACGAUGCUGGGGAAAAUGGAAGGAGAAAGGAAGAGAGGCCGACCAAGAGCAAGAUGGAUGGAUGGUAUCUUUGAAGUGACUGGGUUGACCUUGAAGGAGCUGGGGGCAGCGACGGCCGACAGGGAGCUCUGGCAUGGACUGGUCCAUGAGGUCACGAAGAGUUGAAGAUGACUAAACGACUGAGCAGCAGCACCCUUGUGCCAGCAGGACUACUGACUUGAAGGUUGGGUUGCUGACCUGAAGGUUGCCGAUUAGAAUCCAACCCAGACAGAACGCGGAUGAGCUCUGUCUGUCAGCUCCAACUCCAUGCAGGGACAUGAGAGAAGCCUCCCACAAAGAUGGUAAAAACAUCAGACAUCCAGGCGUCUCCUGGGCAACGUCCUUGCAGACAGUCAAUUCUCUCACACCAGAAGUGAUUUGCGGUUUCUCAAGUCUCUCCUGACAUGAAAAAAGAAAGCAAAACCAAAAGUAACCAAUUUUGUCCUUUUUCUCCCUUAAAAAGUCUACAAUGGGCUUUCAGUGUUUUUUUUCCUAAAAAAUAAAAAUUAUCAAUUAAUCCUUAA
Molecule: long non-coding RNA, 801 nt
Organism: Anolis carolinensis (green anole)
Lineage: Eukaryota; Metazoa; Chordata; Lepidosauria; Squamata; Anolidae
Exons: 2
Source: RefSeq, a predicted model, not a curated record